RNAcentral lists this ribosomal RNA (610 nucleotides) under Bacillus sp. M.D-2. RNAcentral's name for it is "bacterial SSU rRNA". It matches the Rfam family "Bacterial small subunit ribosomal RNA", at positions 96 to 691 of the family's 1533-position model. Lineage: Bacteria; Bacillati; Bacillota; Bacilli; Caryophanales; Bacillaceae. The record is from RNAcentral.
CGGCGGACGGGUGAGUAACACGUGGGUAACCUGCCCAUAAGACUGGGAUAACUCCGGGAAACCGGGGCUAAUACCGGAUAACAUUUUGAACCGCAUGGUUCGAAAUUGAAAGGCGGCUUCGGCUGUCACUUAUGGAUGGACCCGCGUCGCAUUAGCUAGUUGGUGAGGUAACGGCUCACCAAGGCAACGAUGCGUAGCCGACCUGAGAGGGUGAUCGGCCACACUGGGACUGAGACACGGCCCAGACUCCUACGGGAGGCAGCAGUAGGGAAUCUUCCGCAAUGGACGAAAGUCUGACGGAGCAACGCCGCGUGAGUGAUGAAGGCUUUCGGGUCGUAAAACUCUGUUGUUAGGGAAGAACAAGUGCUAGUUGAAUAAGCUGGCACCUUGACGGUACCUAACCAGAAAGCCACGGCUAACUACGUGCCAGCAGCCGCGGUAAUACGUAGGUGGCAAGCGUUAUCCGGAAUUAUUGGGCGUAAAGCGCGCGCAGGUGGUUUCUUAAGUCUGAUGUGAAAGCCCACGGCUCAACCGUGGAGGGUCAUUGGAAACUGGGAGACUUGAGUGCAGAAGAGGAAAGUGGAAUUCCAUGUGUAGCGGUGAAAUGCGU